AACGAACGCUGGCGGCAUGCCUAACACAUGCAAGUCGAACGAGACCUUCGGGUCUAGUGGCGCACGGGUGCGUAACACGUGGGAAUCUGCCCUUUGCUUCGGAAUAACAGUUAGAAAUGACUGCUAAUACCGGAUGAUGUCGAAAGACCAAAGAUUUAUCGGCAAAGGAUGAGCCCGCGUAGGAUUAGGUAGUUGGUGGGGUAAAGGCCUACCAAGCCGACGAUCCUUAGCUGGUCUGAGAGGAUGAUCAGCCACACUGGGACUGAGACACGGCCCAGACUCCUAUGGGAGGCAGCAGUGGGGAAUAUUGGACAAUGGGCGAAAGCCUGAUCCAGCAAUGCCGCGUGAGUGAUGAAGGCCUUAGGGUUGUAAAGCUCUUUUACCAGGGAUGAUAAUGACAGUACCUGGAGAAUAAGCUCCGGCUAACUCCGUG
Molecule: ribosomal RNA, 433 nt
Filed under: uncultured bacterium
Lineage: Bacteria
Description: partial 16S ribosomal RNA
Rfam family: Bacterial small subunit ribosomal RNA
Source: RNAcentral